GUCGAGAAUCAUUCACAAUGGGGGAAACCCUGAUGGUGUGACGCCGCGUGGAGGAUGAAGGUCUUCGGAUUGUAAACUCCUGUCAUGUGGGAGUAAAGCCGGGUGUUAAAUGCAUGCCGGUCUGAGAGUACCACAAGAGGAAGGGACGGCUAACUCUGUGCCAGCAGCCGCGGUAAUACAGAGGUCCCAAGCGUUGUUCGGAAUCACUGGGCGUAAAGGGUGCGUAGGCGGCGCGGAAAGUCAGGAGUGAAAUCCCGGAGCUCAACUCCGGAACUGCCUUUGAUACUCCAGCGCUUGAGAACUGGAGGGGAGACCGGAAUUCACGGUGGAGCAGUGAAAUGCGUGGAUAUCGUGAGGAACACUAGUGGCGAAGGCGGGUCUCUGGACAGUAUCUGACGCUGAGGCUCGAAGGCCAGGGGAGCAAAAGGGAUUAGAUACCCGAGUAGUCC
RNAcentral lists this ribosomal RNA (449 nucleotides) under uncultured bacterium. RNAcentral's name for it is "partial 16S ribosomal RNA". It matches the Rfam family "Bacterial small subunit ribosomal RNA", at positions 354 to 796 of the family's 1533-position model. The record is from RNAcentral.